Peromyscus maniculatus bairdii (prairie deer mouse) is the source of this 1623-nucleotide non-coding RNA. The record is from RefSeq and is a predicted model, not a curated record. NCBI's taxonomy places the organism in Eukaryota, Metazoa, Chordata, Mammalia, Rodentia, Cricetidae.
CAACUGAGAAUAAUGCCUCCACCGUCAGACUGGCCUGUAGGCAACUCUGUGAGGGCAUUUUCCUUGAUUAAUGGUUGCCGUGGAGAGGCCCCGCCCACUGUGGGUGGUGCCACCCUUGGGCAGGUGGCCCUGGGUUGUAAAAGAAAGCGGGCUGGGCAAACCAGUAAGAGGCAUUCCUCCAGGGCCUCUGCCUCAUUUCUGGAUUCCAGGUUCCUGCCUCGAGCCCCCGGCCCGACUUCUCUUUACGAUGGACUGUAAGUGAUGUGGCUGAAUAGCUUUGCCAAGAAUCCUAAUGAGAACCAGAUUGCACAGUUCAGCAUCCUUUGCAGCUGGAAAAGUUGGGACAUGGAGAGGUCGCUCCUGGAGGCCCCGGAGGAGCCUUUGCCAAAAGCCAGCUCUGCCGUCUCGAGAGUGAUGUCUGGGAGUCCCCUUCUUGGCCUAAGGAUUCCUGAAUGAGGAGGGCAAUCACAUGCUCCCUGUGGUACCAUGCAUGUUUCAGACCUGUGGCUUUGGGAGCAGUGCCCUGCUCUGCUGGGCUCGGUGUUUUAAAGUCAUUGCCAGAUCGGGUCCAUCCUGCUCUUCCAGAGGGACUGCCUAGCAGACCGUUAUUCACUCCAAGCUUUCUACUGCAACAUCUUUCUCUACAGGGACGUGUCUUCCUAGAGCCUGCCUCAGUCCUCACGGUACCCUGGGGUCCAAGCACAGAACCGAGGCCCUCAUGACCGCCCAAGACGUCCACCACGGGGUGGACAGAUGUUCUGUGCUGUGUAUGUGCUGGCUGCACACAGGUGGAAAGGGGUAAUAGGUUUAGCCAGUAUCUAGGAGGAAGGAGGAUCGGGGUAGGUUGUGUUUGUGCAAAGAGAAGCAGGUUUGCCCUAAGAGGGGUACAGCAGACAGGAGCGGUGAGCCCUGAGAACCAAAUAUCCUCGCCCAUAAAUCUUCCACCCUCAUCAACACACAAAAGCCCCGAGGACAGAUCUCCUUUCCUGCCAUUAAUCUAAGACUGACUGUAGCAUUUCCUUGCUUGUCUAAAGGGGACAAUAGAACGUCCCUCUGACCCCAAGCAGCCUAGGAGAGAUAAAUGGGAGGGGAGGUGCGGGCACACAGGUGGCUUUUCACCUGAUGACAGAACCAGCUCCUGCCAAGAACCGUGCCAGGGAGCUGCCCACCACCCUUAGAAAGACCCAGUCAGCUGUUCAAAGGUCAGUGAGGGCACCAUCUCUGACAACCACUCUGGCGGGCAGGCUCACGUGAGCCAUCGUGGCUAAAGCUCACUUGCCCAGGAUGCUUGGAUGGCCAGAUGUCAGGAACACAGCUGUCCAAAGAGGCGCAAGCUAUAGCAGGUUCAAGCUGUACACGCCUCCCUUCUGCGCCCAUGACCUUGAUUAGGAAGGUCAUAAGGUCAGGAAAAGAGACCUUCAUGACCUUCUUUUCUUCUACAGAUAAUAUGCAUGACCAAGGAAAAGUUAACAUAAAUAACUAAGCUUUACAGCUUUCUUUUACCAAAUGAGAAAACCACACACAGACACACAGACAGACACACCACACACACACACACACACACACACACACACACCCCUCUGGAGGCCAAUUUGAACAUAUAAACUUUAAAUAAUAUAGAUG